This is a long non-coding RNA of Mastomys coucha (southern multimammate mouse), 4651 nucleotides long. RefSeq lists it as uncharacterized. The transcript has 5 exons. The record is from RefSeq and is a predicted model, not a curated record. NCBI's taxonomy places the organism in Eukaryota, Metazoa, Chordata, Mammalia, Rodentia, Muridae.
CGUGUAUAAGUAUAGUGUUUUAGCUAGGGUUUAAUGCCGUAAGGAGACAUCAUGAACAUGGCAAUUCCUAUAAAGGAAAAUUACUAAUUGGUGCUGUCUUACUGUUUCUGAGAAUUAGUUCAUUUUUGUCAUAACAGGAAACAUGUCAGUGUGCUGGCAGAUAUGGUGUUUGAGGAGCUGAGAAUUGUACAUCUUGAUCAAUAGGCAGCAAGGUGCUCAUGAUGACUUACUAGUCCUAAGCUUAGAGCAGCUGGGAAUUUACAGUCCUGAAAAUUAAAGGUUGUUACCAAAUUGAAUAGCCAUUGGUUCUACAGCCGUUAUAAUGAUCUGAAAAUUUCAAGGUGUUGCAUGAACACUUUUGUGAAUCAUUAUAACAGAACUCAGCUAAUUGGAUAGAGACUAGAAUGUUGGUUGGAAGACAAUUAUUUUACAUAGAUUUUCUCAUUGCUGCUGUUGCAUUAACCCAAGAAGUGGAGACAGUACUACAUGGAUAAGAAUUGUAUGAUUGAAUUGACAUUGGAAUCUUCUCAGUGUUUUCAUAAAAUAUUCACUGUAUAUAGUCAAUAUUUUCCUCAGAGUUGGUGCUUACAAGUUCUUGUCAAGUUGGAAAAAGUCACUUUUACUUUUAUUUGCAUCACAUUUAAUAGAUUAGAGACUAGAUUGCUUUAAAUUGAGUCUUCAUAUACAACCUCAAGGUGGUGAACAUCUUUACAUGGACAUCAAAUAUGCCUUUCUGAAGAGGCUUCAUCUACAGCAUCUCCCAAAUACCAUUAUAUAUUUAUUGAUUCUGGAGUAUUAAUUUACCUUUAUCAUCUUACAACUUGUAUAGAAGAUCUCCAAGGAAUAAAAAUGACCUGCUCUUGGCAAGUAAUUGCCUGAAAUGUUCAGUACUUCUGUUUUCAGUAUAUCUUGGACUCACAUAUUGUUUGUUGCAUAUUAUCAUUUAUUCAUAUUUUAAUUUGCAAAUGAAAUAAACUUUCUAAGUGUGUUGCAUAGCUAAUGAAUAUAAACAUUUUAUGAUACUUUGGAUUAUAAAAAAGUAUUUCUGACUAAUUGAAUCUCCCUCUAUAUCAGUUUUGUUAUCAUUUGUGAGAUGGCUUCCUCCUCCUUUGAAUAAGAAAUUCAGAUUUUAGGCAGGCCCCAAAGAAGAUUGUUUGGCACUGUGGUGUUCUUUAGAGAAGAUUCUCUGGUGCCAUUUUUGCUGAUAUUACUAGUCUUUGUCUAGGGCAGAAACGUAAGUCUCUAUGGUUUGCUUUUUCUCCAAUACUACUACUGGAGACUUUCAUGCCCUUGUAACUGAGAAAUGUCCUUACAUUGAUAAGGAGAGCCAUUGUAGAAUGUGUAGCAUCAUAUUUUCAUUGAUAUCACUUUUCAGGUUUGAAUUAAAUCUCACUAUUUCAAAGUGAUUUUACUUUACUCUGUAAUGUGGUUUUUUUUCCUCCUUAAACUAAGUAAAAUAAUAUGAAGUAGUGCUUAUUUUCAAUAUUAGUUGUCUGUUUCUAUCAGUUCAUUUGAAAAUGACUAUCUACAUUUCUCAACCUGUUUUAAUAAUUAUAAGAGUGAAAAUAAUUGGUAUGAAUUUCUAAAGUGUGUCGGUAUGUAUGUCUGCAUGUGUGUAUGUGCAUGUCAGGUGUCUAUAGAGGUCAGAAAUGAAAAUCAGGAUUAUAUAAUAAUUAUUUUUUGAAUGUUUACAUUGUUUACUAAUACAUUAUUUAAUAGGUGCCAGUAAGAAAGCUCAAUGGAAAAAGCCAAUUGGCAACUCCAGUUGGAUUACUGCAACCCAGGUUAUAUGUAAAACAGAAUAUAGCUGAGAACAGAACACUUCGGGGAUUUUUAAUCUCAUAGAUUUGAAGUAUAACCCAUAUCUCCUUACUCAUUAUAUUAUUAUUAUAUUUUAGCUAUAUCCUGAGAUGUGUCCUGGGUUCUUUUUAUAAUGCUUAUUUAUUUUAUAUGCAGUAUUGAUAUUUUUUGUUAUUGUUGUUUUAGUUGCAAGGUUAAAUUAGUGUAUUUCAAUUAGUCUCUCAGGCCAGGCAGUGGUGGCACACGCCUUUAAUCCCAGCACUUGGGAGGCAAAGGCAGGCAGAUUUCUGAGUUUGUGGCCAGCCUGGUCUACAGAGUGAAUUCCAGGACAGCCAGGGCUAUACAGAGAAAUCCUGUCUCGAAAAAACAAACAAAAAAAUCAAUUAGUCUCUCAUGUUAACAUUUUCUGAGGUCAGAUUGAUUGUGACUCUAAUCAGACACCACUGCAACUUAUCAGUUUAUGUUAAGCGCCACGAAACUUUGUUAAACUUUAGAUUUACAGUCCAUAUUUUAGAAAUUAGGAAUUUGUUCUGUAGUACAAAAAUGCUUAAGGCUAAUCAUUAAACUAUGUUCCCAUGAAUAUUUGCAAUACAAAAGUCUUGAGCUAUAUUUGGAUUUUAGUAGAUAAUUGUCUAACCCAUAGCCAACUUUUUAGGUCUUGUUUCAUCAAGACAAUCUUUGGUAGAUUUAGAAGUAGAAGGUACAAAAAGAGUAUGUUUCCUUGUACAUGUUGCUGAAUGCCCUACAUCAGUGGUUCUCAACCUCUGGGUUCCAACCGCUUUGUGAGUUGAACAAAUCUUUCAAAGGAGUCACUUCAGAUAUUUUAUAUUACAAUGCAUAACAGUAACAAAAUUACAGUUACAAAAUAAUUUGAUUAUAGGAGGUGCCUACUAUGUUAAGAGAUUUGUUAAAGGACUGUCAUAUUAACCAUUUUAAAGUUAGUUGUUUUAGUACAUUUUAAUAUCAACAUCUACUGUUAUUAAAGAAUUCUGUGGUCAUGCAUUGCUAAUCUGCUAUUCCAGUUCCAUAGCAGCUUAUAAGAGAUCAACUUUCAUGGUGUAUAUACUAGUCAGUUAUUUUCUUAUGUUUAUAUGAAUGUACAUGGAGAUUUUAGAUGUAAAAUCUUUGUAUUAAUGAUUUUUCCAUUUCAUAUAUCAUAUUGGUUUACAGAUUGUGUUUGCUGCUACAUGUGAUGUUGAUAAUAUGUACAAUUAUAUAAUUAUGAUAAUAUUUUUGAGUUCCUACUUAUAUAAUAAUUUUCUAGGUAUGGUAAUAUUAGGUCAUCAUCUGUAUAUGUCUUUGGUUUCUGUCAAUAUUGUGAAAUUGCUUGCAAAUGUUUUCUGGGUUAAGCCAGAGUAGUGGUUUAAUAUAGUGCUAAUUUUCAUAGAUUUGCCUUUACUAAAUUUCAAUGGGUUUGUAAAUAAAAGCCAAUCUAAUAGGUGAAAUAAUAUUUUUAAAGCCCAAAUUAAGACUAAUUUAAAUGCUUAAUGGCCAUGAUUUUAUAAAACUAAAUAGAAUUUUAGUAGUAGAAACAACUUAAAGUUUCCAAAUUUUGCUAAGUUUAGUGAUACAGCUAAGGUUACAUAGUGAUACCUUGCUCAAUGUUUACAUUUUUUUCACAAAUUGCUUGAGUAUGCACUAUGGUAACAAGUUUUUUUUCCCUAUUUUAUUUUGUUGUAAUUAUAGAACCAUAUGCUUUUUUAUAGUCUGACUUAUCCUCUGCAUUCCUUUCACUUAUCAUUUCCCUUAUUCUUUCUGUCCCUGUUCUUCUCAUCUUAUUUCUGUUAACACAUGUUGCUUUGUUUUCUGAACUGUGUUUUCAUUUAAGAUAUGCUGUUCAAGUUGGCCAACAUUUUUCUGUAGGUAUUUUAUAAAAGUUCCUUUAAACUUGGCUUAAAGUUUAAGAACUGCUGAUUGUCUUGUUCAACUCUAACAUUAUAGUACAAUGUAAUAUGUUAUAAUAUAUUACAUUACUGUAAGGAUUAUAUUAUAUUAUACUAUAUUAUAUAGUUAUCCCCUAGAUUUCUGUUUCUUUUCUAAUGAGAGAAAGAAAGGGGUGGUUCUAUUUGGAAAAGUAAUGAGAGAUGAAAUAUAAUUAGAGGGAGGAGAAAAAUAAUUAUUAUAUGUUAUGUGAGAAAAUAUCUAUAAAAGAAAGCAGAAUAAAACUUAAUAUCAUAAUCUUGAUAUCUAGUUUGAAAGUAUACCCUAUGCAUUCUUUAUAUUUACAUUUCCUUAGUUGGUUUAGUCUUGUUUUCUUCUGUGGGAUCGAACAGUAUUUGCAAAAGCCAUGUCUAUCUCAUAUUAUUUAGUCAGAAUCAAUUCUAUAGACUACUUUGGUUCUUCAUAACAUUGACUUUCUUGAAAAAUAACACCUUUCAGGUUUCAAGAGCCCCCAGCUUCUGAUUUUUUCUUAUAAAAUGAUUGAGGAUAUAUAUUUGUCAUAGGAAAACUUCAGAAUAAAUGUGUGUUCAAUAAAUCAUGUCAAGUUUCAAUGUUUAUUGUCCCAAAAUUGAUGAUUAUUAGUUUAAUUCAAAGUGAAAAUUUUCUCCAAUGUUAAUGUUCUUUCUAAAUAAACAUUACAUACAAUGACCAUUUGAAAUUUUAUAGAUCUCUUUAUAAUCAAACUUUAACCCUAUCAAAUUAAAUGUUUCUUGUGUUUCUAUUUUUGAAUACCAUAAGAAAAUGUCACAUCAGAUUUUCUGUGAAAACCUGGUAGAACUCUUCUGUGAAUAAAUCUGAGCCGGGCCUUUUUAAAAUUUUUGUUUAUCUGUUUUUAUAUAAUACAUUUUGAUAACAGUUUUCCCUCUCCUAAAUCCUCCCAUAUCUCUUGCAAUCAAAUUGAGGUUGUUUC